GACGAACGCUGGCGGCGUGCUUAACACAUGCAAGUCGAACGGAAAGGCCCUGCUUGCAGGGUGCUCGAGUGGCGAACGGGUGAGUAACACGUGGGUGAUCUGCCCCUUACUUUGGGAUAAGCCUGGGAAACUGAGUCUAAUACUGGAUAGGACCAUGCUGUAGGUGGUGUGGUGGAAAGAUUAGUUUCGGUAAGGGAUGAGCUCGCGGCCUAUCAGCUUGUUGGUGGGGUAAUGGCCUACCAAGGCGUCGACGGGUAGCCGGCCUGAGAGGGUGGACGGCCACAUUGGGACUGAGAUACGGCCCAGACUCCUACGGGAGGCAGCAGUGGGGAAUAUUGCACAAUGGGCGCAAGCCUGAUGCAGCGACGCCGCGUGGGGGAUGACGGCCUUCGGGUUGUAAACUCCUUUCAGCCAUGACGAAGCCCUUGUGGUGACGGUAGUGGUAGAAGAAGCACCGGCUAACUACGUG
Molecule: ribosomal RNA, 469 nt
Filed under: uncultured bacterium
Lineage: Bacteria
Description: partial 16S ribosomal RNA
Rfam family: Bacterial small subunit ribosomal RNA
Source: RNAcentral